AGAGUUUGAUCAUGGCUCAGAGCGAACGCUGGCGGCGGGCCUAAAACAUGCAAGUCGAACGGAUCCUUCGGGAUUAGUGGCGGACGGGUGAGUAACACGUGGGAACGUGCCUUUUGGUUCGGAACAACUCAGGGAAACUUGAGCUAAUACCGAAUGUGCCCUUCGGGGGAAAGAUUUAUCGCCAUUAGAGCGGCCCGCGUCUGAUUAGCUUGUUGGUGAGGUAAAGGCUCACCAAGGCGACGAUCAGUAGCUGGUCUGAGAGGAUGAUCAGCCACACUGGGACUGAGACACGGCCCAGACUCCUACGGGAGGCAGCAGUUAGGAAUCUUGCGCAAUGGGGGGAAACCCUGACGCAGCCAUGCCGCGUGAAUGAUGAAGGUCUUAGGAUUGUAAAAUUCUUUCAGCGGGGACGAUAAUGACGGUACCCGCAGAAGAAGCCCCGGCUAACUUCGUG
Molecule: ribosomal RNA, 454 nt
Filed under: uncultured bacterium
Lineage: Bacteria
Description: bacterial SSU rRNA
Rfam family: Bacterial small subunit ribosomal RNA
Source: RNAcentral